UAGGGAAUCUUCCGCAAUGGACGAAAGUCUGACGGAGCAACGCCGCGUGAGSUAUGAAGGUUUUCGGAUCGUAAAGCUCUGUUGCCAGGGAAGAACGUCCGGUAGAGUAACUGCUACCGGAGUGACGGUACCUGAGAAGAAAGCCCCGGCUAACUACGUGCCAGCAGCCGCGGUAAUACGUAGGGGGCAAGCGUUGUCCGGAAUUAUUGGGSGUAAAGCGCGCGCAGGCGGUCAUUUAAGUCUGGUGUUUAAACCUUGGGCUCAACCUGAGGUCGCACUGGAAACUGGGUGACUUGAGUACAGAAGAGGAAAGUGGAAUUCCACGUGUAGCGGUGAAAUGCGUAGAUAUGUGGAGGAACACCAGUGGCGAAGGCGACUUUCUGGGCUGUAACUGACGCUGAGGCGCGAAAGCGUGGGGAGCAAACAGGAUUAGAUACCCUGGUAGUCCACGCCGUAAACGAUGAGUGCUAGGUGUUAGGGGUUUCGAUACCCUUGGUGCCGAAGUUAACACAGUAAGCACUCCGCCUGGGGAGUACGGUCGCAAGACUG
Molecule: ribosomal RNA, 549 nt
Filed under: uncultured Bacillus sp.
Lineage: Bacteria; Bacillati; Bacillota; Bacilli; Caryophanales; Bacillaceae
Description: bacterial SSU rRNA
Rfam family: Bacterial small subunit ribosomal RNA
Source: RNAcentral